Paramuricea clavata is the source of this 272-nucleotide non-coding RNA. The record is from the annotation of a GenBank genome assembly. NCBI's taxonomy places the organism in Eukaryota, Metazoa, Cnidaria, Anthozoa, Malacalcyonacea, Plexauridae.
GGAAGCAGAAAAAUAAGCGACAACAGAGGCAAAAUGAUUUCUCUUUGGCGUUUUUACAAAGUAACGGAGCUGGGGCAGAAAAAAACGGUUUGAACUGCUUUUAGUUCGCGCCAAAACAUUUUAAGGUCUCUUUAAAACAUUGUGUUUGAGCGCCAUGCUAUUCGAACGAUCGACAGACAUUUUGUCAUGAAUUAGUCGAUUUCAACAAGCGAAAAAAUCGGCAGGAAACACUCGAUCGUUGUCAAAAUACGAUACAUACAUCAAGAAACAAC